RNAcentral lists this ribosomal RNA (229 nucleotides) under uncultured bacterium. RNAcentral's name for it is "partial 16S ribosomal RNA". It matches the Rfam family "Bacterial small subunit ribosomal RNA", at positions 568 to 796 of the family's 1533-position model. The record is from RNAcentral.
UACGUAGGCGGAAAAUUAAGUCAGUAGUGAAAUCCUGCAGCUUAACUGUAGAACUGUUAUUGAUACUGGUUUUCUUGAAUAUAGUUGAGGUAGGCGGAAUGUGUAAUGUAGCGGUGAAAUGCUUAGAUAUUACACAGAACACCGAUUGCGAAGGCAGCUUACUAAGCUAUGAUUGACGCUGAGGUACGAAAGCGUGGGGCGCGAACAGGAUUAGAUACCCUGGUAGUCC